Molecule: non-coding RNA, 139 nt
Filed under: Bacteroidia bacterium
Lineage: Bacteria; Pseudomonadati; Bacteroidota; Bacteroidia
Source: RNAcentral
GGGGAUGUUUUGGUUUUGACAUCAGAUUAAUUGGUAUGUAAGCAUGUCGAGCGUUUGCAGAGUGUCUCGUAAAUCGUAACUGCAAGCCUAUAACUGGCAACAAUUCUUAUGCACUUGCUGCGUAGUUAACCAAGUUAAC